Molecule: long non-coding RNA, 322 nt
Organism: Pseudoliparis swirei
Lineage: Eukaryota; Metazoa; Chordata; Actinopteri; Perciformes; Liparidae
Exons: 4
Source: RefSeq, a predicted model, not a curated record
GUCAUGCCACCGGAUCCGCGCACCAUCAGACAGCGUUGUAACUGCGGUGGAUGCUCCAAGUUGUUGCCCUUCGACUUUUCAAACUGGUAUUUUCAAAACUGCAGCUCUUUGCGCCAGAAGUACGAGUUAGUUGUACAGAAGUGACAACACUGUUGAUCGCCAUCUCUACAAUUCAGAUAAAAUGAACAGAAAGAAUGGGCCUGUCUCCAGCUCCACCAUUAGACGGAGGGUCCGUCAAGAUGUUUUGACUACAUCACUGUGAUUGAUGGGAAACUGAAUACAACUUUGACUGAUGUUCCACUUCAUAGAAUUGUUGACUAAC